UAGAUGAUAUUUAUUUUAUGAAUAGAUGUUAUUAUUAUGAUCUUGAUUGUAAGGUUUUUAUAUUAUUUUUAUGGAUGGUUUGCUUCUAUGUAUUCCUGCGAUCAAACAGGUGGUACUUAUUGUAUUAUUAAGAAGAGUAUAAAUAGAGUACCCAAUGCUUAUGGGAUUUAUGCUCCUGAGGAAGCUGGAUUAUAUUUGUGCCAGUGAAGCGCGUUGAGCUCAUUCCACAUCUAUCUGGACUCCACUCUCUGAACAGACCUACGAGAUUCCUGUCAUCCCCUGGCAAAAAUUGGACUUUUUCUCCCAUCACUGGACAAUUUGCAUCUAACCGGUUUGGCCCACAUCUGCAGCUUUAAAUGGACUUGUCCUAAUGCUGAUGCCCAUCAUUUUGUGGAUCCGGUAACUAUUUACACAACACAGUGAAUGCAUCUUGGGAGACUGUCCUAGCCCUAAGGAUUUGACAUUGGUGCAUGAAUCUAAGAUCUUUAUUGCCCGAUUCCAAGGCUCUCCUCCUUGUACAGAGUGCCUCCACCCAAACUUUUGGAUAGGUUUUAACCUAUUUUCUAGGAUCAAUUUGGGAAAACCUUAUGGUGUUUCUUGUUUUACCGGUGCAUGAAUCUAAGAUCUUUAUUGCCCGAUUCCAAGGCUCUCCUCCUUGUACAGGUUUCCCCCGGAUGGUCUUCUGAACCCUGAACCUCUCUACAUUGUAAAGUGGUGCUGACCCCCCUUGUGUACCAUUACGGCCUACUUGCUAUGUGGACCCCUCUUCUGCGGUGUGACCUGGAGAACCCUUCAGUGGUGCUGACCCCCCUAUUCUACCAUGAAGUCCUACUUGCUAUGUGAACCCCCCUACUGUGGUGUGACCAGGAGAACCCUUCAGUUGGAAAAGUGGAAAAACACACUACAGGCGGAUCCAACUUUGAUGUAAAGUCCUUAAAACAAGUCAAAAUUAGGCUCAGUAGUGUGUGUGGCCUCCACGUGCCUGUAUGACCUCCCUACAACGCCUGGGCAUGCUCCUGAUGAGGUGGCAGAUGGUCUCCUGAGGGAUCUCCUCCCAGACCUGGACUAAAGCAUCUGCCAACUCCUGGACAGUCUGUGGUGCAAUGUCUGAUGGUGAAUGGAGCGAGACAUGAUGUCCCAGAUGUGCUCAAUUGGAUUCAGGUCUGGGGAACGGGCGGGCCAGUCCAUAGCAUCAAUGCCUUAAUCUUGCAGGAACUGCUGACACACUCCAGCCACAUGAGGUCUAGCAUUGUCUUGCAUUAGGAAGAACCCAGGGCCAACCGCACCAGCAUAUGGUCUCACAAGGGGUCUGAGGAUCUCAUUUCGGUACCUAAUGGCAGUCAGGCUACCUCUGGCCACCCCACACCAUUACAGACCCACUGCCGAACCGGUCAUGCUGGAGGAUGUUGCAGGCAGCAGAACGUUCUCCUUGGCGUCUCCAGACUCUGUCACGUCUGUCACAUGUGCUCAGUGAGAACCUGCUUUCAUCUGCGAAGAGCACAGGGCGCCAGUGGUGAAUUUGCCAAUCUUGGUGUUUUCUGGCAAAUGCCAAACAUCCUGCACGGUGUUGGGCUGUAAGGGCUAUCAAUAGUUUUUACAUUCUGAUGGCAUUCGAAGAGCAGGAUCAAUGAUACCCAUAAUCGCCCAUUUGGGGGUAAAUGGCACUAAAGUGAUUAGUUUAGCUUCUGCGUAUCUUCUAAUGAGAUGCCAGAAGUAUUGCACAAUGGGACAUGCCCAGAAACAAUGAUAAGUAUCUGCCUCACUCUGGUGGCAUUUUGGGCACGAGUGUGUCUCUGACGUUAUGGAAACGCCGUAAUGGGGAAAGAUAAGUAUUAUGAUAUACAUUCAGAAAUAAUUUGGUAUACAUACUCGCAGACAGGACCUUUCGGGAGUAUAAUAGGGCUCUUUCCAUCAUGGAUAUAGUAAGACCAGGAAAGUGAGUCAACCAUUUCGACAUGCCGCCUGUUAUAGUAGCAUGAUCUAAUAUUGUUCUUAAGAAUCUAUAAUGUAUAGAUAUGGCUUUAUGACUAGGUACCGGGAUUAAUAAGAGGCUGUCUAGGGAAUUUGUCCAAUCUCCUUCCGCAAAACGUGUAAGAACAUGUCUGACAUAAAAUCAUGUUUGCAGAAAUGGCAGGGGAAACGGGGUAACCAUAGCGUGUUUUGUAGACAUCUCAGAAAAAGUUAACAGGCGGUGGUCUUCCAUAGAUACCAAGGAUCGAAUCAAUGUUAUACCAGUCUCCCUCCACACAGUAAAGGGGUGGGCAGCCAUGCCGUCCAAGAACUCAGGGUUUUUGGUUAAGGGUAAAUGUAAGGAAUGAUAUUGAUUCAAUUUCGCGUUGUGGCGCAAGAUGUGCCAUAUUCUCCUGGUAGACCACAAAAGCGGGUUCGAUUUAAUGUGGUCAGGAAUCUCCUGAUCAUGUUGGUAGAGGAAACACGUCAAGUCUAUGUCUGGUAAAAAGCCCUGUUCCAGGGACGUAUUCGUGUAAACAGAGCUGUUUUGUAGCCAAUCCCUCAAAUGUCUCAAAAGCGCGGCCUGAUUAUAAACUACCACAUCAGGGAAAUUGAUCCCUCCAUUGGAUUCGGGUUGGACAAGCUUACGUAAAGCUAUACGAGCAUGGCCCCCCUCCCAUAUAAAAUUUCUGAUAAGUUUAUUAAUCAAUUGCAUAUCCGUUUUUGUCAACAAUACAGGGAGCGUUUGUAAUGGGUAUAAUAGGCGCGGGAUAGCCACCAUUUUAAGUAGAUUAGUCCUGCCCAAGUAUGACAGUGGCAAGCGUUCCCAUCCUUUAAUAUCAUCAGUUAGAGUACGUAUGGCUUUGCUCACAUUAAAUUUAUACAAUUCUGAUCUA
Molecule: long non-coding RNA, 2846 nt
Organism: Pseudophryne corroboree (corroboree frog)
Lineage: Eukaryota; Metazoa; Chordata; Amphibia; Anura; Myobatrachidae
Exons: 6
Source: RefSeq, a predicted model, not a curated record